RNAcentral lists this unclassified non-coding RNA (88 nucleotides) under Pseudomonas marginalis. The record is from RNAcentral. Lineage: Bacteria; Pseudomonadati; Pseudomonadota; Gammaproteobacteria; Pseudomonadales; Pseudomonadaceae.
GUGGGAGGGGGCUUGCUCCCGAUGACGGUGGGUCAGUCAGCACAUGUGUCGCCUGACACACCGUCAUCGGGAGCAAGCCCCCUCCCAC